GACAAUCAAUAUUAAAUUUUGUGCGAAUCGAUAGCUAAUUUGUGAAAACUAAGAAUUUUCACCAUUUAUUGCAAUUUUUGGAAAACCAAUUGCUCAAAUUGUUUUCUGGGGUUCUGUGUAUAUGUGAAUUUAACAGACAAUUUGUGUUUUCCGAGCUGCUCUUCCGUGCUGAUUUCAAGUUGGAUUUGCGUUCUGAUUGAAGCCGUACUAAUGGAAGUUUUCGCAUGUUUACGUGGGUGCGCUGAUCGUUGUUUUGCUGUGUUGGAUUUUGCGCCUCUGUACCCAAAACCGCGAUAUUUAAGUAACUGCCAGGGACGUGAACCGGAUGAAAAAUUUGGUCGGUUCGGUACAGUGGUUCGAACCGUUUUUGCACUUUUGGAUUGGUUCGUCAAAGCGGUCUUUUUGGUCUUUGAACCGAGGUUUCGGUUCGGUUCAACGGUUCGAAAAACAAAAAAAUUACGCGGAAGUUUAAGUGUCAAGUGCAACAACGUGCAA
Rhagoletis pomonella (apple maggot) is the source of this 495-nucleotide long non-coding RNA. RefSeq lists it as uncharacterized. The record is from RefSeq and is a predicted model, not a curated record. The transcript is spliced from 3 exons. Lineage: Eukaryota; Metazoa; Arthropoda; Insecta; Diptera; Tephritidae.